AUUGAACGCUGGCGGCAUGCUUUACACAUGCAAGUCGAACGGUAACAGGUUAAGCUGACGAGUGGCGAACGGGUGAGUAAUGCAUCGGAACGUGCCCGGUCGUGGGGGAUAACGCAGAGAAAGCUGCGCUAAUACCGCAUACGAUCUGAGGAUGAAAGCGGGGGACCGUAAGGCCUCGCGCGAUCGGAGCGGCCGAUGUCAGAUUAGGUAGUUGGUGGGGUAAAGGCUCACCAAGCCAACGAUCUGUAGCUGGUCUGAGAGGACGACCAGCCACACUGGGACUGAGACACGGCCCAGACUCCUACGGGAGGCAGCAGUGGGGAAUUUUGGACAAUGGGCGAAAGCCUGAUCCAGCAAUGCCGCGUGCAGGAAGAAGGCCUUCGGGUUGUAAACUGCUUUUGUACGGAGCGAAAAGGCUCUCUCUAAUACAGGGGGCUCAUGACGGUACCGUAAGAAUAAGCACCGGCUAACUACGUGCCAGCAGCCGCGGUAA
Molecule: ribosomal RNA, 493 nt
Filed under: uncultured bacterium
Lineage: Bacteria
Description: partial 16S ribosomal RNA
Rfam family: Bacterial small subunit ribosomal RNA
Source: RNAcentral